AAAAACAAAAAAAACAAAAGGAUUCUUCGAUGUCGAUUCAGCGGCCACAAGAGAUAGACUGCGACUCGUUCCUCUCAGAUCGGAACAGUUUGUAUGUUGUUUCCCAGACAAAAUAAUCAGAUAUCGGACAUAUCUGAAGCAAUAUCCGAUGAAAAAAUGGAUAAUAAACCUUCUAAGGUGUUAACAAAUUGUGUCCUUAUGUUCGUUGAUGAAGUAAACGUCAUAAGUUUCUUAAUAAGAAGUUCAAAGAAGGCUGGAGAGUAUGUGUCUGCAUAAAAAGAGAGUUUCACGCUAAGCUGGAAAAACAUAAAUCAGAUAAGUAAAAAACAUUGUACAUUUAUUCUGUGUAAUUUUUUUUUGGUUUGAUGUUAAUCACUUACGGUUUAUUUUGUUUUUUUCUUGUAGGAUCUUACAAUAAAUGAAGGAUCAGAGGAAGAAGUAUGUGAAUUUGGUUGAGUCAGUGAAAGAUUCAGGAGGAGAGGAUGAACUUGAUUUGGAUGAGUCAUUGUUUCAGGGGAAAAGUUGGCACAACUCACUGGGAUUGCAGCUCUUCUCAAUUUACCAUUACCAGACCUCGAAGACAUUGCAGCUCUUUUCAGCAACUCACUGGCCCAACUCACUGGGUUUGCAGCUCUUCUCAGCUCAUCUCAGCUCUUCUCAUGUGUCUGCGCUAAAUGAAAGUUAAGAAAGAUGUUGUCAUCUCGGUGAGAAGAUUCAGUGAUUUGGGUGUUGCCAUUGAAAGCUAUACGAUAUUUAUGAUUAGUUGAUCUGAAGGCUCUUCCAGCAGCACUUACACUGAAACGAUCUAUGUUUCUCCAUAAUCCAACACGAAGAUGUUUUCCCCAUUCA
This is a long non-coding RNA of Raphanus sativus (radish), 849 nucleotides long. RefSeq lists it as uncharacterized. The record is from RefSeq and is a predicted model, not a curated record. Lineage: Eukaryota; Viridiplantae; Streptophyta; Magnoliopsida; Brassicales; Brassicaceae. The transcript has 7 exons.